RNAcentral lists this small RNA (336 nucleotides) under Histoplasma ohiense. RNAcentral describes it as "hypothetical lncRNA". Lineage: Eukaryota; Fungi; Ascomycota; Eurotiomycetes; Onygenales; Ajellomycetaceae. The record is from RNAcentral.
CUAUUGACUUAAAUAUUUUUCUUCUUUUUUCUCACUGCUUUCUCUGUCUCUCUUUAUUUCUUUUCUCUCACAAUCUUCUUCAGUGUUCUCUUCUCUCUCUUUCUUCAGACUUGUGUCAGAUUAUGUGACUGUAAGAUAUCACAGAUGACACAGUCUUUUCUUCACUCUUCUCUUUAUUUUUCUUUUCAGAAUAUUUAUUUUUUCUUUUUUUCUUUUAUCUAUCUCAUCUAUCUUUUUUCUGUUGUUAGAAGUGCAGACAGUUCUCAGAUCAACUGAGAGAGUUAUCUCUUUUCAUUCACUAUAAAAUCUUUCAGACACAACAGUGAAGAUCCUCUC